RNAcentral lists this antisense RNA (69 nucleotides) under Labedaea rhizosphaerae. RNAcentral's name for it is "Labedella sp. RS-49 ASpks TB sRNA". It matches the Rfam family "ASpks TB sRNA". The record is from Rfam by way of RNAcentral. Lineage: Bacteria; Bacillati; Actinomycetota; Actinomycetes; Pseudonocardiales; Pseudonocardiaceae.
CUUGACCGAACCCAGCCAGAGCGGCUCGUCCCGGUCCUGGCCGUAGGUGGCGAGGAUCGCGCUCGCCUC